Molecule: non-coding RNA, 69 nt
Organism: Podarcis lilfordi (Lilford's wall lizard)
Lineage: Eukaryota; Metazoa; Chordata; Lepidosauria; Squamata; Lacertidae
Source: the annotation of a GenBank genome assembly
GGAUAGCUCAGUCGGUAGAGCGUGAGACUUUUAAUCACACGGUUGUGGGUUUGAGUCCCACGUUGAACA